GGAUGCUCCCAGCAGAGCAGCUGUGGGAGGCGGCACCGGGGAGGGGACAAGAGCGGGCCCGGCCCCAUUCCCCGCCUCGCUGCCACAAAACGGGAGCCGGGAGCUGGCUCGGCUUCACACGCUCCCCUCCAGCCCUACCGAACCGGGAUAUCCCCCCAUUAAACCUUGGACUGAACCCAAGCCGGCACCGAACCGAGCCGUGCGCGGUCGGGAGGGAUGUAGCGAUCAGCACCGCGGAGAGCGGCCGUGCCGAGCCGUGCCGGGGCCAUGGCCAGCGUGCAGCAGGGCGAGAAGCAGCUCUUCGAGAAGUUCUGGCGAGGGACCUUCAAAGCCGUGGCCACACCGCGACCGGAGAGCAUCAUCGUGGCCAGCAUCACCGCCCGCAAACCGCUGCCCAGUGGGACGCUCAGCUGCCUGCCGUACUCUGCCGAGGAUCGACGUCCUGAGAAGCUGAGCAGCUGUGUGUCCAAGGAGACCUCCACCACUAACGGCUGGGCAAGAGGGAAGGAGAGACGCGACCAUGCUCACCACAGGUCACGCAGGUAGGGACAAGGCCAUCCCACCCCACCGCGUGGUUCAGUGGAAGAAAAGUCAUCCUCAUCUCUGCUGGGUCUGUGAGAUCUGGGCAGGGGUUGGACAACCAUGUGAACUGCCGGCAUCCCAUGUGCUAUGGGGCACGUAGGGUUUCCCCCAGCUGUGGAUCACCCUCAGCAGUUCCCAUCUCCCAUGCGUAGAUCAGAGCAGCAGCAUUGCCCUAACUAGGAUAUCGCUUUGUUAUCAGUACGUUGUUAGCCUCUGACAACUUGCAAGGGUAAAAAAGAAUGAAGCUUGCUAAGCAAGGCAGCUGGGGUCUCAGCCUUUGCUGCUGAACUGGGAUUAAGGCCUUUCUGUUUGGUUAAAGAUGCUGGAAAGAAAGAGACAGAAAGUGCAUUUACUAUCUUCAGAUGUCAGGCUAACCGGAACAAUAAUCUAAAGUGUAUUUUUAAUUAGACUCUGAUUACAAUCACGGAGGAACAAU
Molecule: long non-coding RNA, 1018 nt
Filed under: Pavo cristatus (Indian peafowl)
Lineage: Eukaryota; Metazoa; Chordata; Aves; Galliformes; Phasianidae
Description: lncRNA (ENSPSTG00000005671.1)
Source: RNAcentral